Molecule: ribosomal RNA, 301 nt
Filed under: uncultured bacterium
Lineage: Bacteria
Description: partial 16S ribosomal RNA
Rfam family: Bacterial small subunit ribosomal RNA
Source: RNAcentral
CAGUCGCCGCGGGAAUACGUAGGUGGCGAGCGUUGUCCGGAAUCAUUGGGCGUAAAGGGAGCGCAGGCGGGCAUGUAAGUCUUUCUUAAAAGUUCGGGGCUCAACCCCGUGAUGGGAAAGAAACUACAUGUCUUGAGUACAGGAGAGGAAAGCGGAAUUCCCAGUGUAGCGGUGAAAUGCGUAGAUAUUGGGAGGAACACCAGUGGCGAAGGCGGCUUUCUGGACUGCAACUGACGCUGAGGCUCGAAAGCCAGGGGAGCGAACGGGAUUAGAUACCCCCGUAGUCCCUGUCUCUUAUACC